UCUGUAGCCACGCCCACUCGAAUGACAUCUCUCGCAGGCCACGCCCCGCGCACCUGUGCGCCAGGUUCUGCUGGAGAGAGCGGAGCUGAUGUCUUCGGGCAGGACAUGCACUUAUAUAAGUAUAAACGCUUUAUUCAUUUCGUUACACGUAUCUCUUGGAAAUAUUUUCUGCGCUAUCUACCCUGGUGAAAACGCCGACUGCUACAGAAACUUUGGUUUAAAUCUUUAAAUAAUCGUCUAAAUAAUUAUGUCUUGUGUUUCCAGUUUGGUGUCUUCGGGCAGGACGAGCUUGGCUCAGCUGCUGGAAUUAUCGAUAAAAUGCAACGAAGUUAGUCUUCAUUCCGGCCGCUGCCUCGACAGAAGCCUCGGAGAAACAGUAACGUGAUGUGUGUUUCUGUGUUUUUCCUUGCAGUUGCAUGCAAAAGUUUUCGUUGACUUGUAAAAGCAUUAAGCCUUAAUGUAGCCGUGCUUUGACACUUUGUAAUUGAAAUGCUUGUUAAUUUUCACAUCGAAGCUUUUGCAACUGACGUAUUGUAAUGCUUUGUUUUGUAUGCCA
Molecule: long non-coding RNA, 556 nt
Organism: Lepisosteus oculatus (spotted gar)
Lineage: Eukaryota; Metazoa; Chordata; Actinopteri; Semionotiformes; Lepisosteidae
Source: RefSeq, a predicted model, not a curated record